CUGCAGUGGCGGCGUGCUAUACAUGCAAGUCGAGCGGACAGAUGGGAGCUUGCUCCCUGAUGUUAGCGGCGGACGGGUGAGUAACACGUGGGUAACCUGCCUGUAAGACUGGGAUAACUCCGGGAAACCGGGGCUAAUACCGGAUGGUUGUUUGAACCGCAUGGUUCAGACAUAAAAGGUGGCUUCGGCUACCACUUACAGAUGGACCCGCGGCGCAUUAGCUAGUUGGUGAGGUAACGGCUCACCAAGGCGACGAUGCGUAGCCGACCUGAGAGGGUGAUCGGCCACACUGGGACUGAGACACGGCCCAGACUCCUACGGGAGGCAGCAGUAGGGAAUCUUCCGCAAUGGACGAAAGUCUGACGGAGCAACGCCGCGUGAGUGAUGAAGGUUUUCGGAUCGUAAAGCUCUGUUGUUAGGGAAGAACAAGUGCCGUUCAAAUAGGGCGGCACCUUGACGGUACCUAACCAGAAAGCCACGGCUAACUACGUGCCAGCAGCCGCGGUAAUACGUAGGUGGCAAGCGUUGUCCGGAAUUAUUGGGCGUAAAGGGCUCGCAGGCGGUUUCUUAAGUCUGAUGUGAAAGCCCCCGGCUCAACCGGGGAGGGUCAUUGGAAACUGGGGAACUUGAGUGCAGAAGAGGAGAGUGGAAUUCCACGUGUAGCGGUGAAAUGCGUAGAGAUGUGGAGGAACACCAGUGGCGAAGGCGACUCUCUGGUCUGUAACUGACGCUGAGGAGCGAAAGCGUGGGGAGCGAACAGGAUUAGAUACCCUGGUAGUCCACGCCGUAAACGAUGAGUGCUAAGUGUUAGGGGGUUUCCGCCCCUUAGUGCUGCAGCUAACGCAUUAAGCACUCCGCCUGGGGAGUACGGUCGCAAGACUGAAACUCAAAGGAAUUGACGGGGGCCGCACAAGCGGUGGAGCAUGUGGUUUAAUUCGAAGCUACGCGAAGAACCUUAACAAGUCUUGACAUCCUCUGACAAUCCUAGAGAUAGGACGUCGCCUUCGGGGGCAGAGUGACAGGUGGUGCAUGGUUGUCGUCAGCUCGUGUCGUGAGAUGUUGGGUUAAGUCCCGCAACGAGCGCAACCCUGAUCUUAGUUGCCAGCAUUCAGUUGGGCACUCUAAGGUGACUGCCGGUGACAAACGGAGGAAGGUGGGGAUGACGUCAAAUCAUCAUGCCCCUUAUGACCUGGGCUACACACGUGCUACAAUGGACAGAACAAAGGGCAGCGAAACCGCGAGGUUAAGCCAAUCCCACAAAUCUGUUCUCAGUUCGGAUCGCAGUCUGCAACUCGACUGCGUGAAGCUGGAAUCGCUAGUAAUCGCGGAUCAGCAUGCCGCGGUGAAUACGUUCCCGGGCCUUGUACACACCGCCCGUCACACCACGAGAGUUUGUAACACCCGAAGU
RNAcentral lists this ribosomal RNA (1408 nucleotides) under Bacillus amyloliquefaciens. Its description in RNAcentral is "bacterial SSU rRNA". It matches the Rfam family "Bacterial small subunit ribosomal RNA". The record is from RNAcentral. Lineage: Bacteria; Bacillati; Bacillota; Bacilli; Caryophanales; Bacillaceae.